This 362-nucleotide ribosomal RNA is filed under the name Salmonella enterica subsp. enterica serovar Stanleyville. RNAcentral describes it as "partial 23S ribosomal RNA". It matches the Rfam family "Bacterial large subunit ribosomal RNA", at positions 1163 to 1503 of the family's 2925-position model. Lineage: Bacteria; Pseudomonadati; Pseudomonadota; Gammaproteobacteria; Enterobacterales; Enterobacteriaceae. The record is from RNAcentral.
CAAGACAACUUUACGGAGUUGACGAUUGACGGAGCGAAGCGACGUCAAAGCGUAUACAAAGUCGAGUUGGCUUAGGGAUACGUUCGUUGGGUAGGGGAGCGUUCUGUAAGCCUGUGAAGGUGGCCUGUGAGGGUUGCUGGAGGUAUCAGAAGUGCGAAUGCUGACAUAAGUAACGAUAAAGCGGGUGAAAAGCCCGCUCGCCGGAAGACCAAGGGUUCCUGUCCAACGUUAAUCGGGGCAGGGUGAGUCGACCCCUAAGGCGAGGCCGAAAGGCGUAGUCGAUGGGAAACGGGUUAAUAUUCCCGUACUUGGUGUUACUGCGAAGGGGGGACGGAGAAGGCUAUGUUGGCCGGGCGACGGUU